GACCUGGUGGUGUAUGGUGCACACCCAUAAUACCUAAGAGGUGCGGGACAAGUGUAUAAUGGGAGGUCCUCGUUCGAUUCGGGGUCAGGUCA
Mycena leptocephala is the source of this 92-nucleotide non-coding RNA. Lineage: Eukaryota; Fungi; Basidiomycota; Agaricomycetes; Agaricales; Mycenaceae. The record is from the annotation of a GenBank genome assembly.